Molecule: ribosomal RNA, 441 nt
Filed under: uncultured bacterium
Lineage: Bacteria
Description: partial 16S ribosomal RNA
Rfam family: Bacterial small subunit ribosomal RNA
Source: RNAcentral
CCUACGGGUGGCAGCAGUGGGGGAUAUUGCACAAUGGGGGGAACCCUGAUGCAGCGACGCCGCGUGGGUGAAGGAGCGUUUCGGCGCGUAAAGCCCUAUCGGCAGGGAAGAAGGAGGACAGUACCUGACUAAGAAGCCCCGGCUAACUACGUGCCAGCAGCCGCGGUAAUGCGUAGGGGGCAAGCGUUAUCCGGAUUUACUGGGUGUAAAGGGAGCGUAGACGGCUGCGCAAGUCAGAAGUGAAAGCCCGGGGCUCAACCGCGGGACUGCUUUUGAAACUGUGUAGCUAGAGUGCAGGAGAGGUAAGUGGAAUUCCUAGUGUAGCGGUGAAAUGCGUAGAUAUUAGGAGGAACACCGGUGGCGAAGGCGGCUUACUGGACUGUAACUGACGUUGAGGCUCGAAAGCGUGGGGAGCAAACAGGAUUAGAUACCCGAGUAGUC